UAAGGAAUAUUGGUCAAUGGACGCAAGUCUGAACCAGCCAUGCCGCGUGAAGGAUUAAGGCCCUCUGGGUUGUAAACUUCUUUUAUAGGGGAAGAAAUGUGACGGUUCUCCGUCACUUGACGGUACCCUGGGAAUAAGCACCGGCUAACUCCGUGCCAGCAGCCGCGGUAAUACGGAGGGUGCAAGCGUUAUCCGGGUUCACUGGGUUUAAAGGGUGCGUAGGUGGGCAGAUAAGUCAGUGGUGAAAUCUUCCGGCUUAACCGGGAAACUGCCGUUGAUACUAUUUGUCUUGAAUUAUCUGUAGGUAAGCGGAAUAUGUCAUGUAGCGGUGAAAUGCUUAGAUAUGACAUAGAACACCAAUUGCGAAGGCAGCUUACUACAUAUAAAUUGACGCUGAGGCACGAAAGCGUGGGGAUCAAACA
This 422-nucleotide ribosomal RNA is filed under the name uncultured bacterium. Its description in RNAcentral is "bacterial SSU rRNA". It matches the Rfam family "Bacterial small subunit ribosomal RNA", at positions 355 to 774 of the family's 1533-position model. The record is from RNAcentral.